GACGAACGCUGGCGGCGUGCUUAACACAUGCAAGUCGAACGGAAAGGCCCUGCUUUUGUGGGGUGCUCGAGUGGCGAACGGGUGAGUAACACGUGAGUAACCUGCCCUUGACUUUGGGAUAACUUCAGGAAACUGGGGCUAAUACCGGAUAGGAGCUCCUGCUGCAUGGUGGGGGUUGGAAAGUUUCGGCGGUUGGGGAUGGACUCGCGGCUUAUCAGCUUGUUGGUGGGGUAGUGGCUUACCAAGGCUUUGACGGGUAGCCCGCCUGAGAGGGGGGCCGGGCACAUGGGGACUAAGAGAGGGCCCAGGAGGGAAGGGGGGGCAAAGGGGGGAAGAAUGACAGAGGGGGGGGACGCGAGAGAAGAAAGGCCGGGGGGCGGAAAACGGGCUUAGGGGGGAAAAACAGCUGUGGAAGGAAAGGAGGAGAGAGUGAAGGAAAUGAAUAAGAAAGACCCGGAUAACUACGUG
Molecule: ribosomal RNA, 468 nt
Filed under: uncultured bacterium
Lineage: Bacteria
Description: partial 16S ribosomal RNA
Rfam family: Bacterial small subunit ribosomal RNA (bases 20-320)
Source: RNAcentral